GCUUAACACAUGCAAGUCGAGGGGCAUCAGGAAGAAAGCUUGCUUUCUUUGCUGGCGACCGGCGCACGGGUGAGUAACACGUAUCCAACCUGCCCUUUACUCGGGGAUAGCCUUUCGAAAGAAAGAUUAAUACCCGAUGGCAUAAUGAUUCCGCAUGGUUUCAUUAUUAAAGGAUUCCGGUAAAGGAUGGGGAUGCGUUCCAUUAGGUUGUUGGUGAGGUAACGGCUCACCAAGCCUUCGAUGGAUAGGGGUUCUGAGAGGAAGGUCCCCCACAUUGGAACUGAGACACGGUCCAAACUCCUACGGGAGGCAGCAGUGAGGAAUAUUGGUCAAUGGGCGCUAGCCUGAACCAGCCAAGUAGCGUGAAGGAUGAAGGCUCUAUGGGUCGUAAACUUCUUUUAUAUAAGAAUAAAGUGCAGUAUGUAUACUGUUUUGUAUGUAUUAUAUGAAUAAGGAUCGGCUAACUCCGUGCCAGCAGCCGCGGUAAUACGGAGGAUCCGAGCGUUAUCCGGAUUUAUUGGGUUUAAAGGGAGCGUAGGUGGACUGGUAAGUCAGUUGUGAAAGUUUGCGGCUCAACCGUAAAAUUGCAGUUGAUACUGUCAGUCUUGAGUACAGUAGAGGUGGGCGGAAUUCGUGGUGUAGCGGUGAAAUGCUUAGAUAUCACGAAGAACUCCGAUUGCGAAGGCAGCUCACUGGACUGCAACUGACACUGAUGCUCGAAAGUGUGGGUAUCAAACAGGAUUAGAUACCCUGGUAGUCCACACAGUAAACGAUGAAUACUCGCUGUUUGCGAUAUACAGUAAGCGGCCAAGCGAAAGCAUUAAGUAUUCCACCUGGGGAGUACGCCGGCAACGGUGAAACUCAAAGGAAUUGACGGGGGCCCGCACAAGCGGAGGAACAUGUGGUUUAAUUCGAUGAUACGCGAGGAACCUUACCCGGGCUUAAAUUGCAGUGGAAUGAUGUGGAAACAUGUCAGUGAGCAAUCACCGCUGUGAAGGUGCUGCAUGGUUGUCGUCAGCUCGUGCCGUGAGGUGUCGGCUUAAGUGCCAUAACGAGCGCAACCCUUAUCUUCAGUUACUAACAGGUCAUGCUGAGGACUCUGGAGAGACUGCCGUCGUAAGAUGUGAGGAAGGUGGGGAUGACGUCAAAUCAGCACGGCCCUUACGUCCGGGGCUACACACGUGUUACAAUGGGGGGUACAGAAGGCAGCUAGCGGGUGACCGUAUGCUAAUCCCAAAAGCCUCUCUCAGUUCGGAUCGAAGUCUGCAACCCGACUUCGUGAAGCUGGAUUCGCUAGUAAUCGCGCAUCAGCCACGGCGCGGUGAAUACGUUCCCGGGCCUUGUACACACCGCCCGUCAAGCCAUGGGAGCCGGGGGUACCUGAAGUACCUUCUAAGGGGGAUCGUCCUAGGGUAAAACUGGUGACUGGGGC
Molecule: ribosomal RNA, 1432 nt
Filed under: uncultured organism
Description: 16S ribosomal RNA
Rfam family: Bacterial small subunit ribosomal RNA
Source: RNAcentral